This 468-nucleotide ribosomal RNA is filed under the name uncultured bacterium. RNAcentral describes it as "partial 16S ribosomal RNA". It matches the Rfam family "Bacterial small subunit ribosomal RNA", at positions 28 to 507 of the family's 1533-position model. The record is from RNAcentral.
GACGAACGCUGGCGGCGUGCUUAACACAUGCAAGUCGAACGGAAAGGCCCUGCUUGUGUGGGGUGCUCGAGUGGCGAACGGGUGAGUAACACGUGAGUAACCUGCCCUUGACUUUGGGAUAACUUCAGGAAACUGGGGCUAAUACCGGAUAGGAGCUCCCGCUGCAUGGUGGGGGUUGGAAAGUUUCGGCGGUUGGGGAUGGACUCGCGGCUUACCAGCUUGUUGGUGGGGUAGUGGCUUACCAAGGCUUUGACGGGUAGCCGGCCUGAGAGGGUGACCGGCCACAUGGGGACUGAGGGACGGCCCAGACGCGUACGGGAGGCAGCAGUGGGGAAUAUUGCACAAUGGGCGGAAGCCUGAUGCGGCAACGCCGCGUGCGGGAUGACGGCCUUCGGGUUGUAAACCGCUUUCGCCUGUGACGAAGCGUGAGUGACGGUAAUGGGUAAAGAAGCACCGGCUAACUACGUG